GGGGAUAUAUAUAGCUCAGUUGGUAGAGUGCUUGCCUUGCUUGCACUAAGGCCCUGGGUUCAAUCCCCAGCACCCCA
RNAcentral lists this transfer RNA (77 nucleotides) under Marmota monax (woodchuck). RNAcentral's name for it is "tRNA.Ala". Lineage: Eukaryota; Metazoa; Chordata; Mammalia; Rodentia; Sciuridae. The record is from RNAcentral.